RNAcentral lists this ribosomal RNA (497 nucleotides) under uncultured bacterium. RNAcentral describes it as "partial 16S ribosomal RNA". It matches the Rfam family "Bacterial small subunit ribosomal RNA", at positions 28 to 507 of the family's 1533-position model. The record is from RNAcentral.
GACGAACGCUGGCGGCGUGCCUAAUACAUGCAAGUAGAACGCUGAAGAGAGGAGCUUGCUCUUCUUGGAUGAGUUGCGAACGGGUGAGUAACGCGUAGGUAACCUGCCUUGUAGCGGGGGAUAACUAUUGGAAACGAUAGCUAAUACCGCAUAACAAUGGAUAACACAUGUCAUUUAUUUGAAAGGGGCAAUUGUUCCACUACAAGAUGGACCUGCGUUGUAUUAGCUAGUAGGUGAGGUAAUGGCUCACCUAGGCGACGAUACAUAGCCGACCUGAGAGGGUGAUCGGCCACACUGGGACUGAGACACGGCCCAGACUCCUACGGGAGGCAGCAGUAGGGAAUCUUCGGCAAUGGGGGCAACCCUGACCGAGCAACGCCGCGUGAGUGAAGAAGGUUUUCGGAUCGUAAAGCUCUGUUGUAAGUCAAGAACGGGUGUGAGAGUGGAAAGUUCACACUGUGACGGUAGCUUACCAGAAAGGGACGGCUAACUACGUG